RNAcentral lists this ribosomal RNA (49 nucleotides) under Hastula cf. casta MW-2015. RNAcentral's name for it is "partial 28S ribosomal RNA". Lineage: Eukaryota; Metazoa; Mollusca; Gastropoda; Neogastropoda; Terebridae. The record is from RNAcentral.
UUCCGACCUCAGAUCGGACGAGAUUACCCGCUGAAUUUAAGCAUAUCAC